ACUUUAAGGUGGAAAGUCAACUCGAGGUGAUGGGGAGCAGUUGCUCGCCUUGGAUAAAGAUAAAAAGAACGCCAUUAUAGCCAUCCAUGGAGGCGGCAUCAGAGGCUACAAUGAAGAAGUGGCCGGGAGUGUCCAGCGGCCAACUUGGGGCAGCCAUCAACCAAAAGCUGACAGAGCUCCGAAGAGCACACAAAAAAUAAUAAUAUUUGGCUAUCUUUUUAUUUUUCAUUGUAUUUGAUUUUUGUUUCUGUUUAUCGCCACUUGAAAG
Molecule: long non-coding RNA, 268 nt
Organism: Cololabis saira (Pacific saury)
Lineage: Eukaryota; Metazoa; Chordata; Actinopteri; Beloniformes; Belonidae
Exons: 3
Source: RefSeq, a predicted model, not a curated record